GUACGUGAAAUUGUUGAAAGGGAAGCGCUUGCAGCCCGACUUGUCCGCAGUUGCUCAGCCUGCCUCCUGGCAGGCGCACUCUUCUGCGGCCAGGCCAGCAUCAGUUCGGGCGGUCGGAUAAAGACCCGGGGAAUGUAGCUCCUCUCGGGGAGUGUUAUAGCCCCGGGUGCAAUGCGGCCAGCCUGGACUGAGGAUCUCGCUUCGGCUAGGAUGCUGGCGUAAUGGCUGUAAGCGGCCCGUCUUGAAACACGGACCA
RNAcentral lists this ribosomal RNA (256 nucleotides) under Neofusicoccum sp. Its description in RNAcentral is "partial 28S ribosomal RNA". It matches the Rfam family "Eukaryotic large subunit ribosomal RNA", at positions 395 to 668 of the family's 3401-position model. The record is from RNAcentral. Lineage: Eukaryota; Fungi; Ascomycota; Dothideomycetes; Botryosphaeriales; Botryosphaeriaceae.